CAACCGCUCUGACUCGGGUGUUUCCGGGUGUUAUCGGGACGAAAUCUGACAAGCGACAGAUCUGGUCUAGGCGCUGGACAACACGGACGUAUCAAGCCAAACCAAUCUACCUCGAACCACUAUCAGCAAAACGUUCACUGAAAGCACUUGAAGAUGGCGGCAAUACGAAGUUGGCUGGCGGCGGUAUCACUUUGUCUCAUGAUAAACAUAGUUGACAUGAGGAUAGAAAACUGCUGGACAAACAGCCAGUGCGGGUCAUGCUCCUCCACACAACCCAAUGCUUUCGGUCCGGGCACUGUGUGCUGCCCGAGCUGUACUCCCGGCGUCCUGCAGAUGGUUGAAGGCGGGACGUGCACGUGCGACAUUUCCGUUGCAGCCCUGCCUGUGAGAGUGUCCGUCAUUGCAUCCGCAAUCACACUGACACUGUCCAUCUGCCUGAAACAUCUCCUGCAUUGAACCCACCCUACUAAAACUAAGCAUCUUCCGGACCCAUCCCCUGCAUUAGAGCCUGGUCAGAUGAGCCUCCAACAUCUCCUACAUUGAAACCUGAUCCUACAAACACUGUCUGCCUGAAACACCUCCUGCAUUGAAACCUGAUCCUCCAGACACUAUCUGCCUGAAACAUCUCCUACAUUGAAACCUGAUCCUGCAGACAGUAUCUGCCUGAAACAUCUGCUACAAUGACACCUGAUCCUACAGACACUGUCUGCCUGAAACACCUCCUGCAAUGAAACCUGAUCCUACAGACACUGUCUGCCUGAAACACCUCCUGCAAUGAAACCUGAUCCUACAGACACUGUCUGCCUGAAACAUCUCCUACAUUGAAACCUGAUCCUGCAGACACUAUCUGCCUGAAACAUCUGCUACAAUGACACCUGAUUCUACAGACACUGUCUGAUUGAAACACCUCCUGCAAUGAAACCUGAUCCUUCAGACACUAUCUGCCUGAAACAUCUCCCACAAUGAAACCUGAUCCUACAGACACAGUGUCUAUCUGCCUGAAACAUCUCCUAUAAUGAAACCUGAUCCUACAGACACUGUCUGCCUGAAACAUCUCCUGCAAUGAAACCUGAUCCUACAGACACUGUCUGCAUGAAACACUUCCUGCAAUGGAACCUGAUCCUGCAGACACUAUCUGCCUGAAACAUCUCCUACAAUAACACCUGUUUCACAGACACUACCUGAAACACCUCCUGCAAUGAAACCUGAUCAUGCAGACACUAUCUGCCUGAAAAUCUCCCACAAUGAAACCUGAUCCUACAGACACUGUCUACAUGAAACAUCUCCUACAAUAACACCUGAUCCUACAGACACUAUUUGUCUGAAACACCUCCCACAAUGAAACCUGAUCCUACAUACACUAUCUGCCUGAAACAUCUCCUACAAUGGAACCUGAUCCUACAGACACUUUCUGUCUAAAACACCUCCUGCAAUGAAACCUGAUCCUACAGACACUGUCUAUCUGCCUGAAACAUCUCCUAAAAUGAAACCUGAUCCUACAGACACUAUCUGCCUGAAACGUUUGGUGCAUCUCGACCUGCAUUCGCUUACCACACUCCCAUCUUUUCUGGACAUAGGGAACGUUGCUGGAAUCUAAGAUCGACUGGUUUGUUUCCAAUGCAACCUGAUCCUGUGUUUCUAUCCAGUAAUCUGGGAUGUUCCAGGUGCUCUGUUUUAAAAUGCGUGGUGUUUUAGAAGCCAUGUGGACGUUAUGUAGAUGACUCCCAAGCAGUGCAUCAAGUUUGUAUGUUGCUUUGUAAUAGGCGGAUCCAGAGGCUUGUGAUAUCCUGCCCCCACCACCCCCACCCCCACCCCCUCCCUUUUCAAAAUGCUGGACCCGCCCUUGUUUUUAUAAUGUAACGAAGUUGUAAAUCCUUUGUAUUGAGUCAAAUUUAUACUACUUUCUACUCGACAGACUCCUAUUUGUUUGAAAAUAUAUAUUAAAAGGUUCCUUUUUGUAUGUA
This is an RNA transcript of Haliotis rufescens (red abalone), 1964 nucleotides long. RefSeq lists it as uncharacterized. Lineage: Eukaryota; Metazoa; Mollusca; Gastropoda; Lepetellida; Haliotidae. The record is from RefSeq and is a predicted model, not a curated record. The transcript has 3 exons.